GGCUCUUAAGUGUUCAUUAACACAUCAUCCCAGUAUUUGUUUUUUGUAUUCGCUUUAGUGUGUUUAUAUGGCAUCUAGCUCAAUGUCUUCCCGCGGGUCUGGUUCAUGGACUGCUAAACAAAACAAGGCCUUUGAGAAGGCUCUAGCAGUAUUCGACAAAGAUACCCCUGACCGGUGGCAUAAUGUUGCCAAGGCUGUUGGUGGUAAAACUGCAGAAGAAGUGAAGCAGCAUUAUCAAGUCCUUGUGGAGGAUGUCAAGCACAUUGAAAGUGGUCGUGUUCCUUACCCUAAUUACAAGACCACUGGAUGAGCAUAGCUAAGGAUGACAAAUUUAAAGCCAUGAAGCCAACCACAGACAUGAACAAGGAGCAACAAUAAAAACCAUUAUCGACUUGGAAGCAAGCACAUGUAACCAGCAAUUUGGAUAUUCCUUUUGUGUAAUUUGAUUUCUGCAAAAGUUAGGAGAAAAUCUCCCGUUUUCUUUUAUUUUUUUUUAUUGUAUAUCAGUCAUUAAGUGAAAUCAACUUCCGGUUGUUCUUAAUAUGCAAUGUAUGUGAUCAUUUGUUUUGCUUUCGAGCUUACUGAAUUGGACAACCAAAACAUAAAUAAAGCUUGGAGAAUGCGUGAACAAAGUUAGA
This 638-nucleotide long non-coding RNA is filed under the name Helianthus annuus (common sunflower). The record is from RNAcentral. Lineage: Eukaryota; Viridiplantae; Streptophyta; Magnoliopsida; Asterales; Asteraceae.